This 97-nucleotide microRNA precursor is filed under the name Catagonus wagneri (Chacoan peccary). Its description in RNAcentral is "microRNA 181a-1 (ENSCWAG00000016014.1)". The stretch from base 6 to 88 matches the Rfam family "mir-181 microRNA precursor family". From Rfam's summary of the family: In this case the mature sequence comes from the 5' arm of the precursor. The extents of the hairpin precursors are not generally known and are estimated based on hairpin prediction. Lineage: Eukaryota; Metazoa; Chordata; Mammalia; Artiodactyla; Tayassuidae. The record is from RNAcentral.
AGAGGUUGCUUCAGUGAACAUUCAACGCUGUCGGUGAGUUUGGAAUUCAAAUCAAAACCAUCGACCGUUGAUUGUACCCUAUGGCCAACCAUCAGCU